GACGAACGCUGGCGGCGUGCUUAACACAUGCAAGUCGAACGGAAAGGCCCCCUUGUGGGGUACUCGAGUGGCGAACGGGUGAGUAACACGUGAGUAACCUCCCCUUGACUUUGGGAUAACUUCAGGAAACUGGGGCUAAUACCGGAUAGGAGCUCCUGCUGCAUGGUGGGGGUUGGAAAGUUUCGGCGGUUGGGGAUGGACUCGCGGCUUAUCAGCUUGUUGGUGGGGUAGUGGCUCACCAAGGCUUUGACGGGUAGCCGGCCUGAGAGGGUGACCGGCCACAUUGGGACUGAGAUACGGCCCAGACUCCUACGGGAGGCAGCAGUGGGGAAUAUUGCACAAUGGGCGGAAGCCUGAUGCAGCAACGCCGCGUGCGGGAUGACGGCCUUCGGGUUGUAAACCGCUUUCGCCUGUGACGAAGCGUGAGUGACGGUAGUGGGUAAAGAAGCACCGGCUAACUACGUG
Molecule: ribosomal RNA, 465 nt
Filed under: uncultured bacterium
Lineage: Bacteria
Description: partial 16S ribosomal RNA
Rfam family: Bacterial small subunit ribosomal RNA
Source: RNAcentral